GACGAAGGGGGCGAGCGUUGUUCGGAAUCACUGGGCGUAAAGGGCGCGUAGGCGGCGCAGUCAGUCAGGCGUGAAAGCCCCGAGCUCAACUUGGGAAAUGCGCUUGAUACUAUUGUGCUAGAGAGCGGGAGAGGAUGGUGGAAUUCCCAGUGUAGAGGUGAAAUUCGUAGAUAUUGGGAAGAACACCGGUGGCGAAGGCGGCCAUCUGGACCGUUUCUGACGCUGAGACGCGAAAGCGUGGGGAGCGAACAGG
Molecule: ribosomal RNA, 253 nt
Filed under: uncultured bacterium
Lineage: Bacteria
Description: partial 16S ribosomal RNA
Rfam family: Bacterial small subunit ribosomal RNA
Source: RNAcentral